Long non-coding RNA from Ipomoea nil (Japanese morning glory), 145 nucleotides. RefSeq lists it as uncharacterized. Lineage: Eukaryota; Viridiplantae; Streptophyta; Magnoliopsida; Solanales; Convolvulaceae. The transcript is spliced from 2 exons. The record is from RefSeq and is a predicted model, not a curated record.
UCCAGACUCGAAGAAAAUUUUAACUGAGAAAUCAAGGAGAGGAGACCGGAGGAGUACCUUCGUCGACAGGAGAGGAGUCCGUUCGUCGCUUGGAGUUAAGCGAUUUGGAGAUGGGAUUUGGGUCCCGCGUAGCGUACCAAGAAGA